RNAcentral lists this ribosomal RNA (395 nucleotides) under uncultured bacterium. Its description in RNAcentral is "partial 16S ribosomal RNA". It matches the Rfam family "Bacterial small subunit ribosomal RNA", at positions 338 to 730 of the family's 1533-position model. The record is from RNAcentral.
CCUACGGGUGGCUGCAGUGAGGAAUAUUGGUCAAUGGACGCAAGUCUGAACCAGCCAUGCCGCGUGCAGGAAGACGGCUCUAUGAGUUGUAAACUGCUUUUGUACGAGGGCAAACGAAGACACGUGUAUCUGUCUGAAAGUACCGUACGAAUAAGGAUCGGCUAACUCCGUGCCAGCAGCCGCGGUAAUACGGAGGAUUCAAGCGUUAUCCGGAUUUAUUGGGUUUAAAGGGUGCGUAGGCGGUAGGAUAAGUUAGAGGGGAAAUACCGAGGCUCAACUUCGGAAUUGCCUUUGAUACUGUUCGUCUUGAGAGUAGUUGCGGUAGGCGGAAUGUGUGGUGUAGCGGUGAAAUGCUUAGAGAUCAUACAGAACACCGAUUGCGAAGGCAGCUUACC